Molecule: ribosomal RNA, 253 nt
Filed under: uncultured bacterium
Lineage: Bacteria
Description: partial 16S ribosomal RNA
Rfam family: Bacterial small subunit ribosomal RNA
Source: RNAcentral
UACAUGGGGUGCAAACGUUGCUCGGAAUUAUUGGGCGUAAAGCGCGCGUAGGCGGUUACUUAAGUCGGAUGUGAAAGCCCUCGGCUUAACUGAGGAAGUGCACCCGAAACUGAGUAGCUGGAGUACGAAAGAGGGUCGCGGAAUUCCCGGUGUAGAGGUGAAAUUCGUAGAUAUCAGGAGGAACACCGGUGGCGAAGGCGGGUCUCUGGGCCGAUACUGACGCUGAGGAGCGAAAGCGUGGGGAGCGAACAGG